This 76-nucleotide transfer RNA is filed under the name Bacteroidota bacterium. RNAcentral's name for it is "Bacteroidetes bacterium tRNA-Lys". It matches the Rfam family "tRNA". From Rfam's summary of the family: Transfer RNA (tRNA) molecules are approximately 80 nucleotides in length. Their secondary structure includes four short double-helical elements and three loops (D, anti-codon, and T loops). Further hydrogen bonds mediate the characteristic L-shaped molecular structure. tRNAs have two regions of fundamental functional importance: the anti-codon, which is responsible for specific mRNA codon recognition, and the 3' end, to which the tRNAs corresponding amino acid is attached (by aminoacyl-tRNA synthetases). tRNAs cope with the degeneracy of the genetic code in two manners: having more than one tRNA (with a specific anti-codon) for a particular amino acid; and 'wobble' base-pairing, i.e. permitting non-standard base-pairing at the 3rd anti-codon position. Lineage: Bacteria; Pseudomonadati; Bacteroidota. The record is from RNAcentral.
GACUUCAUAGCUGAGUUGAUUUUAGCACCAGACUUUUAAUCUGGGGACGUGGGUUUGAUCCCCACUGGAGUCACAA